Molecule: ribosomal RNA, 426 nt
Filed under: uncultured prokaryote
Description: bacterial SSU rRNA
Rfam family: Bacterial small subunit ribosomal RNA
Source: RNAcentral
UGGGGAAUUUUCCGCAAUGGGCGCAAGCCUGACGGAGCAAUACCGCGUGGGGGAGGAAGGCUCUUGGGUUGUAAACCCCUUUUACUCGGGAAGAAGGUCUGACGGUACCGAGGGAAUCAGCAUCGGCUAACUCCGUGCCAGCAGCCGCGGUAAUACGGAGGAUGCAAGCGUUAUCCGGAAUUAUUGGGCGUAAAGCGUCCGCAGGUGGUUUCUCAAGUCUGCUGUCAAAGACUGGAGCUCAACUCUGGGAAGGCAGUGGAAACUGAGAGGCUAGAGGCCGGUAGAGGUAGCGGGAAUUCCCAGUGUAGCGGUGAAAUGCGUAGAGAUUGGGAAGAACAUCGGUGGCGAAGGCGCGCUACUGGGCCGAGCCUGACACUCAGGGACGAAAGCUAGGGGAGCGAAAGGGAUUAGAUACCCCGGUAGUCC